UGGAUAGGAGACAAGAAGGCAUCUUCUUGUUUUUAAAAGACCUAGCAAUAGGUAUGCUUAGGGAGGAGCUUGCGUCACAUUAGUUAGUUGGUGGGGUAAAGGCCUACCAAGACUAUGAUGUGUAGCCGGGCUGAGAGGUUGAACGGCCACAUUGGGACUGAGACACGGCCCAAACUCCUACGGGAGGCAGCAGUAGGGAAUUUUCGGCAAUGGAGGAAACUCUGACCGAGCAACGCCGCGUGAACGAUGAAGUAUUUCGGUACGUAAAGUUCUUUUAUUAGGGAAGAAUAAAUGAUGGAAAAAUCAUUCUGACGGUACCUAAUGAAUAAGCCCCGGCUAACUAUGUGCCAGCAGCCGCGGUAAUACAUAGGGGGCAAGCGUUAUCCGGAAUUAUUGGGCGUAAAGGGUGCGUAGGCGGUUAAAUAAGUUUAUGGUCUAAGUGCAAUGCUCAACAUUGUGAUGCUAUAAAAACUGUUUAGCUAGAGUAAGAUAGAGGCAAGUGGAAUUCCAUGUGUAGUGGUAAAAUGCGUAAAUAUAUGGAGGAACACCAGUAGCGAAGGCGGCUUGCUGGGUCUUUACUGACGCUGAGGCACGAAAGCGUGGGGAGCAAACAGGAUUAGAUACCCUGGUAGUCCACGCCGUAAACGAUGAGUACUAAACGUUGGGUAAAACCAGUGUUGAAGUUAACACAUUAAGUACUCCGCCUGAGUAGUACGUACGCAAGUAUGAAACUUAAAGGAAUUGACGGGACUCCGCACAAGCGGUGGAUCAUGUUGUUUAAUUCGAAGGUACCCGAAAAACCUCACCAGGUCUUGACAUGCUUCUGCAAAGCUGUAGAAACACAGUGGAGGUUAUCAGUUGCACAGGUGGUGCAUGGUUGUCGUCAGCUCGUGUCGUGAGAUGUUGGGUUAAGUCCCGCAACGAGCGCAACCCUUAUUGUUAGUUACCAGCACGUAAUGGUGGGGACUUUAGCAAGACUGCCAGUGAUAAAUUGGAGGAAGGUGGGGACGACGUCAAAUCAUCAUGCCCCUUAUGACCUGGGCUACAAACGUGAUACAAUGGCUGUUACAAAGGGUAGCUGAAGCGCAAGUUUUUGGCGAAUCUCAAAAAAACAGUCUCAGUUCGGAUUGAAGUCUGCAACUCGACUUCAUGAAGUUGGAAUCGCUAGUAAUCGCGAAUCAGCAUGUCGCGGUGAAUACGUUCUCGGGGUUUGUACACACCGCCCGUCAAA
This 1231-nucleotide ribosomal RNA is filed under the name Candidatus Phytoplasma asteris. RNAcentral's name for it is "bacterial SSU rRNA". It matches the Rfam family "Bacterial small subunit ribosomal RNA", at positions 170 to 1401 of the family's 1533-position model. Lineage: Bacteria; Bacillati; Mycoplasmatota; Mollicutes; Acholeplasmatales; Acholeplasmataceae. RNAcentral also lists the same sequence under 3 other names. The record is from RNAcentral.